CCAAUAGCGUAUAUUAAAGUUGUUGCAGUUAAAAAGCUCGUAGUUGAAUUUCGGGACUAAUAUGUUGGUCGUGCUUUUGUACGUACUGGCAUUAUUGGUUUCUACCUUCUGAAGAACCGCGAUGUCAUUAAUUUGGUGUCGUGGGAAAUCAGGACUGUUACUUUGAAAAAAUUAGAGUGUUUAAAGCAGGCUCACGCUUGAAUACAUUAGCAUGGAAUAAUGAAAUAGGACGUUUGAUUCUAUUUUGUUGGUUUCUAGGAUCGACGUAAUGAUUAAUAGGGAUAGUUGGGGGCAUUAGUAUUCAAUUGUCAGAGGUGAAAUUCUUGGAUUUAUUGAAGACUAACUACUGCGAAAGCAUUUGCCAAGGAUGUUUUCAUUAAUCAAGAACGAAAGUUAGGGGAUCGAAGACGAUCAGAUACCGUCGUAGUCUUAACCAUAAACUAUGCCGACUAGGGAUCGGAUGAUGUUAAUUUUUUAAUGACUCAUUCGGCGCCUUAC
RNAcentral lists this ribosomal RNA (498 nucleotides) under uncultured Glomeromycotina. Its description in RNAcentral is "partial small subunit ribosomal RNA". It matches the Rfam family "Eukaryotic small subunit ribosomal RNA", at positions 591 to 1091 of the family's 1831-position model. Lineage: Eukaryota; Fungi; Glomeromycota. The record is from RNAcentral.